UUGGGUUGGCCAAAAAGUUUGUUUGGGUUUUCCAUAACAUCUUAUUGAAAAACCUGAACAAAUGUUUUGGCCAAUCCAGU
Molecule: microRNA precursor, 80 nt
Filed under: Ovis aries (sheep)
Lineage: Eukaryota; Metazoa; Chordata; Mammalia; Artiodactyla; Bovidae
Description: miRNA (ENSOARG00000022199.1)
Source: RNAcentral